RNAcentral lists this unclassified non-coding RNA (325 nucleotides) under plant metagenome. RNAcentral describes it as "partial contains 5.8S ribosomal RNA, internal transcribed spacer 2, and large subunit ribosomal RNA". The stretch from base 1 to 106 matches the Rfam family "5.8S ribosomal RNA", at positions 50 to 154 of the family's 154-position model. The record is from RNAcentral.
GAAAUGCGAUAACUAAUGUGAAUUGCAGAAUUCAGUGAAUCAUCGAGUCUUUGAACGCACAUUGCGCCCCCUGGUAUUCCGGGGGGGCAUGCCUGUCCGAGCGUCAUUGCUGCCCUCAAGCCCGGCUUGUGUGUUGGGCCCUCGUCCCCCGGCUCCCGGGGGACGGGCCCGAAAGGCAGCGGCGGCACCGCGUCCGGUCCUCGAGCGUAUGGGGCUUCGUCUUCCGCUCCGUAGGCCCGGCCGGCGCCCGCCGACGCAUUUAUUUGCAACUUGUUUUUUUCCAGGUUGACCUCGGAUCAGGUAGGGAUACCCGCUGAACUUAAGC